GGUUAAGUCCCGUAACGAGCGCAACCCUUGUCCUUAGUUACCAGCACGUUAUGGUGGGCACUCUAAGGAGACUGCCGGUGACAAACCCGGAGGAAAGGUGGGGAUGACGUCAAGUCAUCAUGGCCCUUACGGCCUGGGCUACACACGUGCUACAAUGGUCGGUACAAAGGGUUGCCAAGCCGCGAGGUGGAGCUAAUCCCAUAAAACCGAUCGUAGUCCGGAUCGCAGUCUGCAACUCGACUGCGUGAAGUCGGAAUCGCUAGUAAUCGUGAAUCAGAAUGUCACGGUGAAUACGUUCCCGGGCCUU
Molecule: ribosomal RNA, 307 nt
Filed under: uncultured Pseudomonas sp.
Lineage: Bacteria; Pseudomonadati; Pseudomonadota; Gammaproteobacteria; Pseudomonadales; Pseudomonadaceae
Description: bacterial SSU rRNA
Rfam family: Bacterial small subunit ribosomal RNA
Source: RNAcentral